This 616-nucleotide ribosomal RNA is filed under the name Staphylococcus aureus. RNAcentral's name for it is "bacterial SSU rRNA". It matches the Rfam family "Bacterial small subunit ribosomal RNA", at positions 78 to 679 of the family's 1533-position model. The record is from RNAcentral. Lineage: Bacteria; Bacillati; Bacillota; Bacilli; Caryophanales; Staphylococcaceae.
GCUUGCUUCUCUGAUGUUAGCGGCGGACGGGUGAGUAACACGUGGAUAACCUACCUAUAAGACUGGGAUAACUUCGGGAAACCGGAGCUAAUACCGGAUAAUAUUUUGAACCGCAUGGUUCAAAAGUGAAAGACGGUCUUGCUGUCACUUAUAGAUGGAUCCGCGCUGCAUUAGCUAGUUGGUAAGGUAACGGCUUACCAAGGCAACGAUGCAUAGCCGACCUGAGAGGGUGAUCGGCCACACUGGAACUGAGACACGGUCCAGACUCCUACGGGAGGCAGCAGUAGGGAAUCUUCCGCAAUGGGCGAAAGCCUGACGGAGCAACGCCGCGUGAGUGAUGAAGGUCUUCGGAUCGUAAAACUCUGUUAUUAGGGAAGAACAUAUGUGUAAGUAACUGUGCACAUCUUGACGGUACCUAAUCAGAAAGCCACGGCUAACUACGUGCCAGCAGCCGCGGUAAUACGUAGGUGGCAAGCGUUAUCCGGAAUUAUUGGGCGUAAAGCGCGCGUAGGCGGUUUUUUAAGUCUGAUGUGAAAGCCCACGGCUCAACCGUGGAGGGUCAUUGGAAACUGGAAAACUUGAGUGCAGAAGAGGAAAGUGGAAUUCCAUGUGUAGC